AGGACCCCUUUCCCUUCUUCUAGCUCUUCUGAGAACCCUGGAGGGUAUACACAUUCCAACUGGGAGAUCCAUUUGAUUUCUGCUUCAAGUUAAGAUGUUUUGUAUCUUUACCAUAAAGUGAUUGAUGAUUAGAAGCUGAGGAGAAUUGAUAACACAAGAAGAUAAUGCAUUUCGAAGAGGUUUUGGAAACAAACAGCAACAGAAAAAGAUUCUUCGCUAACUUUUGAGAAAGAAAUGAUCUCAAAAUACCCUUGUGUCUACUGAUAUUUCAAGGUUUGGAAGUCCAAAAGCCGGCUGUUUCUUUUCUGUGGGAUAAAGAUGGAGCAUGUGAAUCAGAACUGGUAAAUUGGAGAGGAGGUCACAAACCGAAUGGAGUUAAGCAAAGUGCAGUGCAAUCUGCAGUGGGAGAAAAGCCAGUUGUACAGAGGGGAAGGACUGGUUACCAUUAAAGUCUUCAAAAUUGGGACCUCAGAGGAGAAAUGAGUGGAGAAAUGAAUGGAGAACAACUCCUUGUUUCUCUCCCUCUCUUCUAGAGGAUGGGGCUAGUGUAAUGAGAUCCAGGUACAAUCCUUGAGAUAUCAGGGAUCCCCAUCCUGGUCUAUUCAGAAGUCCCCCAAACCUUCAGUGCCUAUAGUUCAUGUACUGCCUCUUCCAAAGAGCCUGCCUCGAUGGCUUGAUUGCAGUCAUCAAAUGACAUCUCACUAUUGAGAUGAUGUGUUUCCUUGUCCUUUUCUCAAUGGAAUGUGAGAUUCUUGAGACAAAGAUGUAACAGGCACACAAUAAUUAUUUGUUGAAUGUUGGCUGUAUCAGCUUCUCUGGUUGGAAAUAAUCCCCCCUCCUCUGAGUUCCCCUGGUGCUUUGCACUUACCUCACUCAUGUGAUCUUUUUCACAUUCCACUUUAUACUAUAAUUUCUGUAUUUUUUUAGCUCCACUAUUAUACUCAAAUUCUUCUGCAACAGAGAUGAGAUAAUGCAUGUAAAGCAUUAGUACCAUGUCUGCUGAAUAAAUGAUAGCUAUUAUUAUUUGUGUAAUGAGGCACUUGGAGGAGCAGAAAAUGAAUUUUAUUUAAAAAAACAGCUUUGGAAAAUCACAUUUGAAUAGAUCUUUAUUUUGCAAGAGUCACUUGAGUGAAUUACAAUACUACAAGAGACCUACUGCCUUGGAAGAAGGGAAUAAUACGAUGACUUGGUCUUGAAAUAUCUGUUCAGUGCUAAGCUGCACAACUUCAGGGGACAUCAUCCAUAUUGUAAUAGAUUGUGAUGGACAUAUUCUGAGAGGCACAAUGUGGAUGGUACCCCUGGAGUUCUGCAAGGAAGCUGCCCUGAAAAAAGAAAAGGAAAAGAGGCUUUGACCCUUUAUCUUUGAGGUCCUAGGUUACUGGUCCUCAAAUGGAUUGAUAUGGUACUCACUGAGAAUUAUCAGCAGGAAAGAAGAACAAGGGCCCCAGAGAGGCACUUGCCAUAAGGGAAGGGCUGUCUGCAGAGCACUGGGCUCAGCAAAGCUUUCUGACUGAGGCUAGAUGCCAUUGGGAAACAAGGAUGGACCUGAAUCACUGAAGGGCCACUGUAACCUUAAAAUCUUUCUGGGCUCUCCCCAGCACCAGUCAGAAACACCAAGGUAGAUCUAGAAGUCUCUUUUCCUCUCUAUUUCACCAGCUGCUUUUCCUCGAGGGUCCAGGAAGUUGAGACUGAUGUUUUAAUUUCACUUCAAAUAUACCAUCCUGUACUGUGUAUGCUCAGCAAGUGUUAAUGACUGACCGGCUAGCUGGUUGAGUGAAAAGUUUUAAUAUUGAAAGAAUUGGAGUCAUUCAUUAUUAUUUGAUUCCAGACAUGAGACAGAGUGGCAAUUUGAGGAAAAUAGUCCCAUGUGAUUUUG
RNAcentral lists this long non-coding RNA (1876 nucleotides) under Homo sapiens (human). Its description in RNAcentral is "HSALNT0179420". The record is from RNAcentral. Lineage: Eukaryota; Metazoa; Chordata; Mammalia; Primates; Hominidae.